This 599-nucleotide small RNA is filed under the name Pongo abelii (Sumatran orangutan). RNAcentral's name for it is "processed transcript". The record is from RNAcentral. Lineage: Eukaryota; Metazoa; Chordata; Mammalia; Primates; Hominidae.
AGUAUCGAUGGGAGGCGUGGGUUGUUCACAGGCUUAACUCCAAGACUGUGUUCGGGAGUCCUUGGAACUGUGGUCCAUGGUAAAGUUUUACAGCAUUACCAGGAGAGUGACAAGGGUGAGUGAUCACUCUGAGAUCUAUGGUACAGUUCAUUGGCAGAGAAUCCAAGUACUGUGGACUAUGUGAUUCCAUAAUAACCAUCUAUCGGGAAGAGGGCAUUCUAGGAUUUUUCGCGGGUCUUGUUCCUCGCCUUCUAGGUGACAUCCUUUCUUUGUGGCUGUGUAACUCACUGGCCUACCUCGUCAAUACCUAUGCACUGGACAGUGGGGUUUCUACCAUGAAUGAAAUGAAGAGUUAUUCUCAAGCUGUCACAGGAUUUUUUGCGAGUAUGUUGACCUAUCCCUUUGUGCUUGUCUCCAAUCUUAUGGCUGUCAACAACUGUGGUCUUGCUGGUGGAUGCCCUCCUUACUCCCCAAUAUAUACGUCUUGGAUAGAUUGUUGGUGCAUGCUACAAAAAGAGGGGAAUAUGAGCCGAGGAAAUAGCUUGUUUUUCCGGAAGGUCCCCUUUGGGAAGACUUAUUGUUGUGACCUGAAAAUGUUA